UUCCAGGCGACUUCACCAAUCCCCGGCAACCACCGUAUCCAUCGUAACGGCGUCCGUGAUGCCGCCUGGACCCUCGCAUGUGGUUCAGGGUGCUCUCGACUGAAGCUCCUGGAUCGGACUCCGCCGUGGGCCUAUAAAGCCAGGCGACCUCCUCGUCACCAUACCUCUAGGAGCCGAGGCCGCCACAUUUGAUUCCAAGGAUCCCUCCUAGCUCGUAGUCAGGCAUGACCAUAGGCAACUGAUCAUGCGCGUGACCACUAGAGCAGGGAAGACGACCGGAGCCCAAUGGAAUUUCUCGACGGAGACCUCUCUACACCACCGAGCCGAGGAGCGCGUGGGCGGUGCACUACGACGUCCCUACUGCGGGUAAGAUUGCCACAUACCUAUGCGCCAUGAUCUCGUAAAUGUGUAGCAUUCUGUGUUUUUUGGUACGAGCUAUAAAACGCCAGGGGCGAGCUCUCGCCGGUGCGCGCCGCCAUAGUAGGGCCGGGCGCCGCUAGGAUGUUCGGCGGGGAGAGAGAAGAGGGGUGAUGGGUUAUUUUGGUACUUUUGUUUUGAUUGUAGCACGGAUUAGGACAGAUAAAGUAGUUGGUGGUAUAGACGUAUAGCUUAUUUGCCACUAUCCCUUAGAAUCACCAUUAGGGCGUAAAUUUUGUUAUUUUUUCUUCGUGACCACUUGCACAAUUUGCAACUACCGGCUAGUAUCAUCGUCGUUGCCCCUACUAUUUAGUAUCACCGUCAGAGCUAACAGUGUGUGUGCCAUUUAUUAUGGAAAUGCAACAUAUUUGCGUUAGGCGUAUUAUUAUGGUUCAGCCUCACGCGAUUGUCAAUAUGGUUGACGGUAAAAAUAGGAUCAUUUAAAUUGUCUCGUAAUUAUAUGAGACUUUUAUAGCAAUUUCAUUUAUACGAUCGGUGAAAUUUUGAGAGGUUUUGGAUUUAGGGACCAGCGCUUGUGUACAACACAUAUUACUUGGACAAUCCCUUUUAUAUCACAAGAUAGUUCUCCGUCUAACUUGGUUUUAUAGGAAAUGUCAUGAAUGAUAUGGUUCAAAUGUAUAUGUGAUGUGAUGCUUAAUGUUUGAUGUAAUUAUUUUGCUAGAUAGUGAUAGUAUAGUUCUUGAUGUUAUUAUGGAGGACUCAAGCAUAUGAGUACAUCAUGGACAAGAACUUGGUGAUGGAGAUCACCAUGACAAUUGACAAAGGCCAUACUAUCUCAUAUUAAUAUCAUUAUUUGUGAUAUUUUAUUUUCCUAUGAUAUUGUUCGUUCAUAUAUUAAUUGCGUUGCACCUAUAAAUAUUCUAUUAUCAUUUGGUAGACCUGCUAAAGUAGAGUGUCAUCUAUUAUCUUCAUCUAAUAGAGUGUCAUCUAACACUACCAGACUCGUGUUCUUUGCCGAGUGCAAAGGACAUUUUACGCUUGGCAAAGAAUACUCGGCAAACAUUUUAUCGGCAAAGGAUUUUUUGCCGAGUACUUUUUUCGGGCCGAGUAUCAAAAAACACUCGGCAAAGUUUCAUGAUUUUCUGACUUUGUUUGUGUUUUAUACAAUUUUUAAACACGUGGAUGCCAAGUUCACGGCCAUGUUUAGUGAGCAUGUUGCUCGAAGUUUCCGGUACGCUUCUGAAAUCGGUCGUAACUUAUGCUAAGUACCAUGAAUAUCAUUUUUUCAUGCACGGUUUUCCAAGUUUCGAGUGACCUGCAGUUCAAAUUUGAAUUUUCCGAAGAAAUUCAAAUAAACGAACUAAAUCUACUAACGAUUGAAUCUCUGUUAUAAUUGUCCACAAAUGAUACAUGUAGGUCUACAUAGUGUAGGAACAUACCACAAAAAGUUUGGGAGACAAAAUCAAAAAAAUAAAAAUAUACUUUGCCGAGUGUCUAGGGAUGACACUCGGCAAAGAAGUCUUUGCCGAGUGCCUACUGUGUGGCACUCGGCAAAGAAUAAAGAACAAAGCUUUGCCGAGUGCUGCACAACUAGCACUCGGCACAGAAGCCUUUGCCGAGUGCCCGUGAUCCGGCACUCGGCAAAGUUUAUUUUAAAAUUUAAAAAAAAUCUUUGCCGAGUGCCGGAUCGCGGGCACUCGGCAAAGAAUUUUAAUUAACCGGCUGCCCGGCCGGCUUUCUUCUUCCUUCUCCUUUCCUUCUCCUUUCUCUUCUCCCUCUGCCUCACCGCCGCCACGCCCGCCGCCUCUCCGGCCGCCCGCCCGCCGCCUCUCCACGCUGCCCUCGCCCGCCCGCCGCCUCUCCACGCCGCCAUCGCCCGGCCGCCCUCGCCGCCCUCUCCACGCACGCCGGCAAGCCACGCCGCCUCUCCACGCACGCCACGCCGCCUCACCACGCCGCCCACGCCGGCCUUGCCCGGCCGCCCGCCGCCUCCCCACGCGCCCACGCCGGCAAGCCACCGGCGCCUCUCACCGCGCCCACGCCGGCACGCCGCCCUCGCCCGCCCGCUCGCCGCGCCCGGCACGCCAACGCCGGCGAGCCGACCGCCGUCCGCCCCCGACGCGACCGGCAAGUCGUCACCGGCCGCCCGCCCACGCGCCCGGCACGCCGCCGCCGGCCGAUCGUCGCCAAACCGUAAAGGUUUAAUAAAUUUAUUAAAUUUAUGUAUGUUUAUUGUUAUAUUAUUGUUAUAUUGUCAUAUGUAUGUUUAUUGUUAUAUUGUCAUAUGUAUGUAAAGGUUUAAUACAUGUUUAUUUAAUUUAGAGAGUUUCUACUUUGUGUGUCAAUUAGAUAUAUUUUGUGGAUGUCGGCCAUCGUGCCGAUAGUUUUAUUUGCAGGUUUUGUAAACAUCCCCGUACAGGGGAGGUGCUGCCAAAUUUUUUACAUGUUAUAUUAAACUAUAGUCGGUUAUAUAUGUUAUAGGAUGGAGGACCGUGAUUGGAUGUACACGGGUCGUAGAGGAAGGAACGAUGUCACCACUGAAUGGAUUAGAAAGACCGAUGAUUUCGUGGAACGGGCAUACGGCGAAGCUGCUAAAGGAGCGAGUCUAGUCCCAUGCCCGUGCAGCAAUUGUGACAAUCGGAAAAGAAAACCAAAGAAGACCAUGGUAGAACAUAUUUGGAAGAAUGGAUUUACGCCGGGCUAUACUCGGUGGAUAUUUCAUGGUGAAGCGCAUCGUACGAGAGAGGAGGUGUUGAGACAACGUGUCGACGAUUAUGACGCGGAUGCGGGGGUAGCAGAUAUGUUGAACGACUAUCAGGAGGCACAGUACACGGGAGGAUGUAUGGAUGACGAGCCAGAGCCGACUGCAAAGGCGUUCUACGACAUGUUCGACGCGGCACAGAAGCCCCUUCACGGCCAGACAAAGGUUUCUCAACUGGAUGCCAUUGGGCGUGUAAUGGCGUUCAAGUCGCAGUACAGCAUGAGUAGAGACGCAUUCGAUGGCUUGUUGACGGUUAUUGGGAGUCUGCUUCCGGAUGAUCAUGUUCUGCCAAAGAGCAUGUACGAGGCACAGAAACUACUUCGUGCACUCAAGAUGACGUAUGAGCAGAUUCAUGCUUGUCCGAAGGGCUGCGUGCUAUUUAGGAAAGAAUACGCGGAGGCAAAGUACUGUCCCAAGUGUAAUUCGUCUAGGUUUAUGGAGGUAGACUCUGGUGAUGGACAAAAGAGGCAGCUCGACAUCCCCUUGACAAUCCUACGACACCUUCCGUUCGUACCGAGGAUCCAGCGUCUGUACAUGACAGAGGAAUCCGCUAAACAGAUGACUUGGCACAAAAAUGGAAAACGAUACAAUCCUGACAAGAUGGUGCACGCAUCAGAUGGUGAAGCAUGGAAACACUUUGAUGACAUUCACCGUGACAAAGCCGAAGAGGCUCGUAAUGUACGUGUUGCGUUGGCCACAGAUGGGUUCAAUCCCUAUGGAAUGAGCGCUGCCCCGUACACAUGUUGGCCCGUGUUUGUUAUCCCAAUCAAUCUCCCCCCUGGUGUGUGCUUUCAAAGGCAGAAUAUAUUCGUGUCGUUGAUAAUUCCCGGACACCCGGGGAACAAAAUGGGCGUGUACAUGGAGCCUUUGAUCGAUGAAUUGGUACGUGCCUGGGAGGAAGGGGUAUGGACGUUUGACCGAGCUACGAAGACAAACUUCAGAAUGCAUGUUUGGUACCAGUACUCCAUGCAUGACUUACCGGCCUAUGGGCUAUUCUGUGCCUGGUGUGUUCACGGUAAGUUCCCAUGCCCAGUUUGCAAGGAAGCUCUCAGGUUCAUUUGGUUGAAAAAGGGUGGCAAAUAUUCGUCAUUCGAUAAACAUCGACAAUUUCUUCCUGCUGACCAUCCAUUCCGCCUAGACAUCAAGAACUUUACGAAAGGUGUCGUAGUGACAGACCGUCCACCUGCAGCGAUGACUGGUGCCGAAAUUCGUCAACAGAUAGAUGGGCUCGUGGCCAAUACAGAAGGUGGUUUUGUGGGAUAUGGUGAGCAGCAUAUGUGGACACAUAAGUCUGGCUUGACUCGGCUCCCCUAUUAUGACGACCUGCUCCUUCCACACAACAUUGACGUGAUGCACACUGAAAAAAAUGUUGCCGAGGCACUGUGGGCAACAAUUAUGGACAUUCCUGAUAAGUCAAAGGAUAAUGUGAAGGCAAGAGUGGAUCUGGCAGCGUUAUGUGAUAGACCAAAACUAGAGAUGAAGCCGCCAAGUGGCGGAAAGACAUGGAGAAGGCCUAAGGCCGAUUUCGUCCUAAGCAGGGCCCAGAGGAAGGAAGUACUUCAGUGGAUCAAGAUGUUGAUGUUCCCUGAUGGGUAUGCAGCUAACCUGAGUAGGGGGGUGAACUUAUCUACUAUGCGAGUCUUAGGGAUGAAGAGUCAUGACUUCCACAUAUGGAUUGAACGGAUUCUUCCUGCGAUGGUUCGAGGCUAUGUCCCUGAGCAUGUCUGGCUAACGCUUUCAGAGUUGAGCUAUUUCUUCCGUCAGCUUUGUGCAAAAGAGUUAUCUCGGACCGUGGUUGCAGACUUCGAAAGAUUGGCCCCCGUUUUACUGUGUAAGCUUGAGAAGAUAUUUCCACCCGGCUUCUUCAAUCCAAUGCAGCAUUUGAUUCUUCAUCUCCCCUAUGAGGCACGAAUGGGGGGCCCCGUGCAGGGACGUUGGUGCUAUCCAAUCGAGAGAUGUCUAAAGACUAUUCGAAAGAAAUGUAGAAAUAAAUGCAAAAUCGAGGCUUCCAUUGCAGAGGCAUACAUUCUAGAGGAGGUCUCAAACUUCACAACAACUUAUUAUGGUGACAAACUGCCGAGCGUGCAUAAUCCACCCCCUCGUUACAAUGAUGGCGACAAUGAAUCGAACCUUAGCAUAUUUCGAGGCCAACUCGGAAGCGCAAGUGGCUCGACCACCAAGACCCUGAAUCAUGACGAGUGGCGACAUAUCAUGCUAUACGUAUUGACCAACCUUGAAGAGGUGACGCCAUACAUGGAACAAUUUCUUCAUGAAUUCUGGCGUCGAUCAAGGGACCCCACUCCACAGGAAUAUGACGCUCUUCUUAGAAAGGGUGCGCGAAAUGGGUUGCCCGAUUUCAUUUCCUGGUUCAAACGUAAGGUACGUGCUUAGUUUGUAAAAGAGAUACGUCUUUGAACUCAAUUUAGCAUCUUUUAACUUGCGAAUACUUGCAGGGCCAAAGAGAUCCGUCUAUGAGUGCCGGGUUGAGACAAGUAGCCAACGGCUUUGCUUAUAGGGUCAAGAAAUAUUCUGGGUAUGACGUCAAUGGAUACCGUUUUCGCACAACACACUACGACCAAAGUCGGCCCAAUCGGAAAACAACGUGUUCUGGAGUCUUUACGCCGGGGCUUGACAAUGUCGAUUAUUUUGGACGAAUUGAAGAAAUAUAUGAGCUCAAUUUUUAUGGUUCCAAACCUCUUACUCCAGUGAUAUUCAAAUGUCAUUGGUUUGACCCUCAAGUGACGAGACGGACACAUUCUAAUCUUGGGAUAGUCGAAAUUCGACAAGAUUCCACCUUAGCAGGAGACGAUGUCUAUAUCGUGGCCCAACAGGCCACACAAGUGUAUUAUCUCCCAUAUGCGUGUCAAACGAAAGAACAUCUUAAGGGUUGGGAUGUUGUGUAUAAGGUAUCGCCGCAUGGGAGGUUACCUGUUCCUAACGAUGAAGAUUACAACUUAGACCCGGACACAUAUGAUGGAGAGUUCUUCCAAGAAGAUGGGCUAGAAGGGCGAUUUGAGAUAGACUUAACAGAAGCUAUCGGAAUGGACGUAGAUAUUGAAAUGGUUGUUGAUGAGGAGGAUGAUGAGGUGCAAAAUGAUAAUGACUUAGUAAUCCUUGAAGGCAAUGAUGAGGUUGCGUCUUCCGAUGGUGUUGAGAUUGAAAUGCUUGAUAGUGAUGAUGAGAGUUUUGAUCCGGCUAACCCCGACACAUAUGAAGAUUAUUUUUAAUCGAUGUAAUGCUAUAUGACUUUUUAUUUCGCACCUGUUUUUAAAUACAUCUUUUUAUAUGUGCUUAUUUGUUUACUCUUAAUUGCAGGUUGUUGGACAAAUAUGGUGGGCGGUUUCCUGAGGAGGAGGAGGGGGAGGAGGAGUAGGACGGCGGACGAUGCAGAGCAGGCAGCGCAGCAGCAGGAGGCAGAGCAGGCAGCGCAGCAGCAGCCGGCGCCUCAGGACGACGACGACCAGCCGGACGACGACGACCAGCAGCAGGACGCCUCAGGUUCAGGCGGCUCUAGUUCGAGGAGCAUCUACCUGCGAGGCCCCGCGAGUCUCCCG
RNAcentral lists this long non-coding RNA (6693 nucleotides) under Zea mays. RNAcentral's name for it is "long non-coding RNA (ZMAY_LNC003908)". Lineage: Eukaryota; Viridiplantae; Streptophyta; Magnoliopsida; Poales; Poaceae. The record is from RNAcentral.